UACAGAGGGGGCAAGCGUUGUUCGGAAUUACUGGGCGUAAAGCGCACGUAGGCGGAUUGCUAAGUCAGGGGUGAAAUCCCGGGGCUCAACCUCGGAACUGCCUUUGAUACUGACAAUCUCGAGUCCGAUAGAGGUGGGUGGAAUUCCUAGUGUAGAGGUGAAAUUCGUAGAUAUUAGGAAGAACACCGGUGGCGAAGGCGGCCCACUGGAUCGGUACUGACGCUGAGGUGCGAAAGCGUGGGGAGCAAACAGG
This 253-nucleotide ribosomal RNA is filed under the name uncultured bacterium. RNAcentral describes it as "partial 16S ribosomal RNA". It matches the Rfam family "Bacterial small subunit ribosomal RNA", at positions 524 to 776 of the family's 1533-position model. The record is from RNAcentral.